UACAGAGGGUGCAAGCGUUAAUCGGAAUUACUGGGCGUAAAGGGUGCGUAGGUGGUUUAAUAAGUUAGGUGUGAAAGCCCCGGGCUUAACCUGGGAAUUGCGCCUAAUACUGUUUAACUAGAGUACUGUAGAGGAAAGUGGAAUUUCCGGUGUAGCGGUGAAAUGCGUAGAUAUCGGAAGGAACACCAGUGGCGAAGGCGACUUUCUGGACAGAUACUGACACUGAGGCACGAAAGCGUGGGGAGCAAACAGG
This 253-nucleotide ribosomal RNA is filed under the name uncultured bacterium. RNAcentral's name for it is "partial 16S ribosomal RNA". It matches the Rfam family "Bacterial small subunit ribosomal RNA", at positions 524 to 776 of the family's 1533-position model. The record is from RNAcentral.